This 974-nucleotide unclassified non-coding RNA is filed under the name Mesorhizobium caraganae. RNAcentral's name for it is "partial contains 16S-23S ribosomal RNA intergenic spacer and 23S ribosomal RNA". The stretch from base 285 to 358 matches the Rfam family "tRNA". The record is from RNAcentral. Lineage: Bacteria; Pseudomonadati; Pseudomonadota; Alphaproteobacteria; Hyphomicrobiales; Phyllobacteriaceae.
ACGCUCAUCUGAUGAGCCUCUGCCUUUCGGUUCUCUUGGAACAAGACGGCAAAGAGUCACUUUGACCGUCGCGCAUACCUUAAGCGGGUCUGCCGCCUUCGUUUCUCUUUCUUCAGCGAAUGACUUUGGAUCAGCGCUCGCGCGCCGUACCGCGGCCCCCUGUUGAUUAAGAUGGGCGGCCGCUGGCGCUCCGCGAGGGCGCGGCAUAAGCCGCGACGGCCGGUCGGCCUUGCGAGGCUUUGCCUCGAGGUCACCAGCUCGUUACUGGCAGAGCGCGGUCUUUAGGGCUUGUAGCUCAGUUGGUUAGAGCGCGCGCUUGAUAAGCGUGAGGUCGGAGGUUCAAGUCCUCCCAGGCCCACCAUCUCUAGUGCAACCCGAAGGGUUGUCGCUCGCAAUCCGCAAGGAUUGUCGGAUCUCCUCGAUAGAGUAUCAGGGAAACAAUCAGGGGCCGUAGCUCAGCUGGGAGAGCGCCUGCUUUGCAAGCAGGAUGUCGUCGGUUCGAUCCCGUCCGGCUCCACCACUCGCGCAAUUCCGAAGGGAUUGUCGCGGUUCGCGACGAUCCUGCGGAUCGCGCGGAGGUGUCGAGUAGAGAUGAGAAAAGUCAUUCGUAAAAAAGGUUUGCGGCGAGCAACGAGCUCUCCGCCUGUUCUGUUUUGACAUCGUAAAGAGAAGAUUUGUUCGAACUUCAUGAGCCGAAAGGUUCGUGAUUUGUCGCAGGAGACGCUCAAUCUCCUGCAUAUGAUGGGUUUGCCUAACCGCGCCCUCGAACCGAUCUCGAGAAGCUGGUCUUUUUGUGCCAAUGACAUCGAAUUGGAUCCCGCACAGGAUCUGGUUCAGGCGACGAUCUCUUCGAGAUCGCGCGGGUGGGCAUUGGCAAUGAGAACGAUCAAGUGUCUUAAGGGCAAUUGGUGGAUGCCUUGGCAUGCACAGGCGAUGAAGGACGUGAUACGCUGCGAUAAGCUACGGGAGGUGCG